GAAGAAUCCUGGGAACUGUAGUUUUUAAGGGUACUGUGAAUCAUAGCUCUAUGAGAACUGCAGUUCCCAGGUUUUUU
Non-coding RNA from Podarcis lilfordi (Lilford's wall lizard), 77 nucleotides. The record is from the annotation of a GenBank genome assembly. Lineage: Eukaryota; Metazoa; Chordata; Lepidosauria; Squamata; Lacertidae.